GCGUACUUAGCUCAAUGGUUAGAGAAUCACUCAUGGAUGUUGAUUUUGUGGGUUUGAGUCCCACAGUACACA
RNAcentral lists this transfer RNA (72 nucleotides) under Puccinia sorghi. It matches the Rfam family "tRNA". Rfam says of the family: Transfer RNA (tRNA) molecules are approximately 80 nucleotides in length. Their secondary structure includes four short double-helical elements and three loops (D, anti-codon, and T loops). The record is from Rfam by way of RNAcentral. Lineage: Eukaryota; Fungi; Basidiomycota; Pucciniomycetes; Pucciniales; Pucciniaceae.